This 253-nucleotide ribosomal RNA is filed under the name uncultured bacterium. RNAcentral describes it as "partial 16S ribosomal RNA". It matches the Rfam family "Bacterial small subunit ribosomal RNA", at positions 524 to 776 of the family's 1533-position model. The record is from RNAcentral.
UACGGGGGGGCAAGCGUUGUUCGGAAUUACUGGGCGUAAAGGGCUCGUAGGCGGCCAACUAAGUCAGACGUGAAAUCCCUCGGCUUAACCGGGGAACUGCGUCUGAUACUGGAUGGCUUGAGUUUGGGAGAGGGAUGCGGAAUUCCAGGGUGUAGCGGUGAAAUGCGUAGAUAUCUGGAGGAACACCGGUGGCGAAGGCGGCAUCCUGGACCAACACUGACGCUGAGGAGCGAAAGCCAGGGGAGCAAACGGG